ACAUCUUUUUCCAGCAUUCCUUUCUGACCUUUAGAAUGAAGUUCAUCACAAGCCUCUUCCUCUUAUCCCUUCUAUUUCCUGUUGACAGCAUGAGUUUUGUGGAUAGUGUUAAGUGUAUCUUUGAAUUUGUUGGGAAAGGUUGGUAACAAAAUUAUAAGAUGGUGUAAGGAUGCUUGUAAAGAAAAAAUAUAAAUUGAAGAUGCAGACAGCAUGGAUGAGCCCUCUGAAAGUAUUCAUGGAACUGAAAUUAUCAGAGUUGAGACUUGGAUCUGGGAUUGCUUCCUCGGGGAGCUGACUCCCUUGAUAGAAGAGGAUCACAACAGUUGAUGUAGAGGUGGUAAAUGAGCCCAAUCAGAUCAAACCACCAAUCAAGAUCCCAAAUUUUAAGCAGGCCUUGCCUUCUUGCUCCCUCUUCUAUGUAGCCUGUGAGCUCUUAUUGGAGUACCCAUGUCAGUCCUCUAUCCUGGUUGUGCUGGAU
Molecule: long non-coding RNA, 478 nt
Filed under: Vombatus ursinus (common wombat)
Lineage: Eukaryota; Metazoa; Chordata; Mammalia; Diprotodontia; Vombatidae
Description: lncRNA (ENSVURG00010006524.1)
Source: RNAcentral